UACGUAGGGUGCAAGCGUUAAUCGGAAUUACUGGGCGUAAAGCGUGCGCAGGCGGUUCUGAAAGAAAGAUGUGAAAUCCCAGAGCUUAACUUUGGAACUGCAUUUUUAACUACCGGGCCAGAGUGUGUCAGAGGGAGGUGGAAUUCCGCGUGUAGCAGUGAAAUGCGUAGAUAUGCGGAGGAACACCGAUGGCGAAGGCAGCCUCCUGGGAUAACACUGACGCUCAUGCACGAAAGCGUGGGGAGCAAACAGGAUUAGAUUCCCUGGUAGUCCACGCCCUAAACGAUGUCAACUAGCUGUUGGGGCCUUCGGGCCUUGGUAGCGCAGCUAACGCGUGAAGUUGACCGCCUGGGGAGUACGGUCGCAAGAUUAAAACUC
Molecule: ribosomal RNA, 378 nt
Filed under: uncultured Bordetella sp.
Lineage: Bacteria; Pseudomonadati; Pseudomonadota; Betaproteobacteria; Burkholderiales; Alcaligenaceae
Description: bacterial SSU rRNA
Rfam family: Bacterial small subunit ribosomal RNA
Source: RNAcentral